This 254-nucleotide ribosomal RNA is filed under the name uncultured bacterium. RNAcentral's name for it is "partial 16S ribosomal RNA". It matches the Rfam family "Bacterial small subunit ribosomal RNA", at positions 524 to 776 of the family's 1533-position model. The record is from RNAcentral.
UACGGGGGGGGCAAGCGUUGUUCGGAUUUACUGGGCGUAAAGGGCGCGUAGGCGGCCACCGCAAGUCAGUUGUGAAAUCUCUGGGCUUAACCCAGAAAGGUCAACUGAUACUGCGGGGCUAGAGUGCAGAAGGGGCAACUGGAAUUCUCGGUGUAGCGGUGAAAUGCGUAGAUAUCGAGAGGAACACCUGCGGCGAAGGCGGGUUGCUGGGCUGACACUGACGCUGAUGCGCGAAAGCUAGGGGAGCGAACGGA